Molecule: transfer RNA, 90 nt
Filed under: Ciona intestinalis (vase tunicate)
Lineage: Eukaryota; Metazoa; Chordata; Ascidiacea; Phlebobranchia; Cionidae
Rfam family: tRNA
About the family: Transfer RNA (tRNA) molecules are approximately 80 nucleotides in length. Their secondary structure includes four short double-helical elements and three loops (D, anti-codon, and T loops).
Source: Rfam by way of RNAcentral
GCUCCAGUGGCGCAAUCGGUUAGCGAGCCGUACUUAAAUAACAGUAUCGGAGACAUGCGGAGGUUGUGAGUUCGAGCCUCACCUGGAGCA